UGAGAGCUGUCCUGGGCCGGAGGUGGCGCGAACCCUGUGCGGCCUAGAGUGGGCCUGGGAUGCCUCAGCACUAAUGAUCAUGAUCAGAGACCCCGAGUUCUCUCGUGCUGCUACGCUUCGCAACACAUCGCACAAAUGGAAUAUGUGUUGACACACCCCUCUAAAGUUAAGAUCUUUGAUAUUAAGACCCUGACUUUUUUCCCUUUCAUUCUUCCGAACCCUCUGUGUACUUUGAGCAGCACUGUGGUUGAUUAAUAAAUCAUCAAAUGUGAAAGGAAGAAAGCGACCUUCCUGUGUGGAAAAGCAGGAUAUCUUGCGAGGCUGUAUGAGAGAGUAUUCGGUAGAAUCAGGAGCUGUGGACGCAUUCCUGAUUUUGUUUUUCCUUAUUUUGCUCGGCUAUAUCUUGGCUCUGUCUUUUAUUUCUUCAAAGUUCUGUUCUAUUCAGAACAUUUGAAAGCACAGCCAUUCACUAGACCCUCUCUGGUGGAGGAAGAAAAACUAGAGAUGAAUACAGUAUUUGAAACCUUGCUUACAAUCUAGCAGGGGAAAUAAGACAGCAAUACAAAAUAAAUUGUUGGCUGAUACAAAUAAAAUGCUGCAAGGACCAAGUGGAGGGAAGAGAUGAUUGCAGCUAAGUGAGAGAAAGGCUGCUGGGGAAAGGUAAAGAGUGAUUUUGAGAAAAGCCUUUCUAGACAAAGGUGCUUCCUUUUUCACCAAACUCGCCUGUUUGGUGAUUUUGAGAGUAGAUGUUCCAGUGUUCCAGGCAAGGGAAACGGAUGAGAGAAGGCACAGAAGUGGGUGGGUUUAGAGAAUUGUGAAUAGCCUUUCUGGUUCCAGCAUAGGGGCAUGGUUGCAAAUGAGACUGAAAAGGUAGAUUAGGGUGACAUCAAGAAGACAUUGGAGGCUGGGCGCAGUGGCUUACACCUGUAUUCCCAGCACUUUGGGAGGCCGAGGAGGGCGGAUUACCUGAGGUCGGGAAUUCGAGACCAGCCUGACCAACAUGGAGAAAACCCGGCUCUACUAAAACUGCAAAAUUAGCUGGGCAUGGUGGCACAUGGCUGUAAUCCAGCUACUCAGGAAGCUGAGGCAGGAGAAUCUCUAGAACCUGGGAGGCGGAAGUUGCAGUGAGCCGAGAUCACACCAUUGCACUCUCCAGUCUGGGCAACAAGAGUGAAACUGCGUCUCACAAAAACAAAAACAAAAAAUUGGAACUUGGACUUUAUUCUGGAACCAUAUAAACAGGAACAUGAUAUGCUCAAAAAUAUGUUUUUU
Molecule: long non-coding RNA, 1272 nt
Filed under: Pan troglodytes (chimpanzee)
Lineage: Eukaryota; Metazoa; Chordata; Mammalia; Primates; Hominidae
Description: long non-coding RNA NONPTRT016803
Source: RNAcentral